RNAcentral lists this ribosomal RNA (468 nucleotides) under uncultured bacterium. Its description in RNAcentral is "partial 16S ribosomal RNA". It matches the Rfam family "Bacterial small subunit ribosomal RNA", at positions 28 to 507 of the family's 1533-position model. The record is from RNAcentral.
GACGAACGCCGGCGGCGUGCUUAACACAUGCAAGUCGAACGGAAAGGCCCUGCUUUUGUGGGGUGCUCGAGUGGCGAACGGGUGAGUAACACGUGAGUAACCUGCCCUUGACUUUGGGAUAACUUCAGGAAACUGGGGCUAAUACCAGAUAGGAGCUCCUGCUGCAUGGUGGGGGUUGGAAAGUUUCGGCGGUUGGGGAUGGACUCGCGGCUUAUCAGCUUGUUGGUGGGGUAGUGGCUUACCAAGGCUUUGACGGGUAGCCGGCCUGAGAGGGUGACCGGCCACAUUGGGACUGAGAUACGGCCCAGACUCCUACGGGAGGCAGCAGUGGGGAAUAUUGCACAAUGGGCGGAAGCCUGAUGCAGCAACGCCGCGUGCGGGAUGACGGCCUUCGGGUUGUAAACCGCUUUCGCCUGUGACGAAGCGUGAGUGACGGUAAUGGGUAAAGAAGCACCGGCUAACUACGUG